GUAGGUGGCAAGCGUUGUCCGGAAUUAUUGGGCGUAAAGCGCGCGCAGGCGGUCCUUUAAGUCUGGGUGUGAAAGCCCACGGCUCAACCGUGGAGGGUCAUAGGAAACUGGGGGACUUGAGUACAGAAGAGGAAAGCGGAAUUCCAAGUGUAGCGGUGAAAUGCGUAGAGAUUUGGAGGAACACCAGUGGCGAAGGCGGCUUUCUGGUCUGUAACUGACGCUGAGGCGCGAAAGCGUGGGGAGCAAACAGGAUUAGAUACCCUGGUAGUCCACGCCGUAAACGAUGAGUGCUAAGUGUUAGGGGGUUUCCGCCCCUUAGUGCUGCAGCUAACGCAUUAAGCACUCCGCCUGGGGAGUACGGCCGCAAGGCUG
Molecule: ribosomal RNA, 372 nt
Filed under: uncultured organism
Description: partial 16S ribosomal RNA
Rfam family: Bacterial small subunit ribosomal RNA
Source: RNAcentral